This 527-nucleotide small RNA is filed under the name Pongo abelii (Sumatran orangutan). RNAcentral's name for it is "processed transcript". The record is from RNAcentral. Lineage: Eukaryota; Metazoa; Chordata; Mammalia; Primates; Hominidae.
AGGUGCGUGCGCGCCGCGGGAGGCGGGCCGGCAGCUGGAGCCCAGCCGGAGCGGCGGCCCCUCCGCGGAGCCCGGUCACAGUCACCGCAGCAGACAUCAUGGCCGUGGAUGUGGCAGAAUACCAUCUGAGCGAGAGUGCCUGCGUGGAAUACCCAGCGGGCCAGCACGCGGGGACCACCCAGCCGCAAAGGCAGUCUCAGCAUUGAGGACACCUUUGAGAGCAUCAGUGAACUGGGGCCUCUGGAGCUGAUGGGCCGGGAGUUGGACCUGGCCCCCUAUGGGACCCUCCGGAAGUCCCAGUCGGCCGACUCCCUGAACUCCAUCUCCUCCGUGAGCAACACCUUUGGGCAGGACUUCACACUGGGCCAGGUGGAGGUGAGCAUGGAGUACGACACUGCCUCCCACACGCUGCACGUGGCGCUGAUGCAGGGCAAGGACCUCCUGGAGCGGGAGGAGGCCAGCUUCGAGUCCUGCUUCAUGCGCGUCAGCCUGCUGCCCGACGAGCAGAUCGUGGGCAUUUCUCGGGU